GCCUCCUUAGUUUAAUGGGAGAACAUAACACUGAAGAUGUUAGGACGGUGGGUCGAUACCACCAGGUGGCA
Pseudocohnilembus persalinus is the source of this 71-nucleotide non-coding RNA. The record is from Rfam. NCBI's taxonomy places the organism in Eukaryota, Ciliophora, Oligohymenophorea, Philasterida, Pseudocohnilembidae.